Molecule: non-coding RNA, 116 nt
Organism: Xylaria venustula
Lineage: Eukaryota; Fungi; Ascomycota; Sordariomycetes; Xylariales; Xylariaceae
Source: the annotation of a GenBank genome assembly
GGGCGAAUGGUCUAGGGGUAUGAUAUUCGCUUUGCAUAGUCUCGUCGUCGUGAGAAUACAUGAUGAAAGAGCACACUGCCUGCGAAGGGUCCGGGGUUCAAAUCCCCGUUCGUCCA